GGCCCAGUAGUUUCAGAGGAGAAGAUUUUUGUAAAAGAUUACUAAGAUUUACGAAAAAUGGUUAAAAAUUUACUAUAAAGGGCAAUAACUCCUAAAGGGGUCAACUGACCUUUUCGGUCAUGUUGACUUAUUUGUAAAUCUUACUUUGCUGAACAUUAUUGCUGUUUACAGUUUAUCUCUAUCUAUAAUAAUAUUCAAGAUAAUAACCAAAAACAGCAAAAUUUCCUUAAAAUUACCAAUUCAGGGGCAGCAAUCCAACAACGGGUUGUCCGAUUCAUCUGAAAAUUUCAGGACAGAUAUAUCUUGACCUGAUAAACAAUUUAACCCCUGUCAGAUUUGCUCUAAAUGCUUUGGUUUUUGAGUUAUAAGCCAAAAACUGCAUUUUACCCCUAUGUUCUAUUUUUAGCCAUGGCGGCCAUCUUGGUUGGUUGGCCGGGUCACGCCACACAUUUUUUAAACUAGAUACCCCAAUGAUGAUUGUGUCCAAGUUUGGUUUAAUUUGGCCCAGUAGUUUCAGAGGAGAAGAUUUUUGUAAAAGUUAACGACGACGGACGACGACGACGGACGACGACGACGGACGACGGACGACGGACGACGGACGACGGACGACGGACG
This 615-nucleotide long non-coding RNA is filed under the name Mytilus galloprovincialis (Mediterranean mussel). The record is from RNAcentral. Lineage: Eukaryota; Metazoa; Mollusca; Bivalvia; Mytilida; Mytilidae.